Hydractinia symbiolongicarpus is the source of this 1064-nucleotide long non-coding RNA. RefSeq lists it as uncharacterized. Lineage: Eukaryota; Metazoa; Cnidaria; Hydrozoa; Anthoathecata; Hydractiniidae. The record is from RefSeq and is a predicted model, not a curated record. The transcript is spliced from 3 exons.
GCAGAACAACUGUACAAAGACGCAACAGGUUUCAUCGACAACAUGUCAUAGUUGUGAAGUCACCGUUACAAGACUAACGACAGAAAAAGCUGAAUUGGAAGAAAAGUAUCACACGUUAAAACGAAAGUAUGACGAGCUUCUUCAAAGUAAUUCAGAUGAGAACUUGGAACGAAAAAGAAAACGAUCAUCAAAUGAUUUUGACGUCGCAGCGUAACAUAUUUUAAAUCUUUGAUGUUUUUUACACUGUAUAUAUGCGAUAUUUAUUUAUUCUUAGCAGCAUAUAAGGUUGCCUAUUUUAUAUUAUUUAUGACACAACUCUCAAAGUUUACCCUUCGUCCCCAGGGAUGUUAAGCUUUUCUAUUGAGACGGGAAGCUUAAAUAAAAAACAUCUAACAAGUCCUGGGGAUGAGGUUGAUAUUUACUAGAUUUUUUAUUUGUAUUCGCACAUAUUGUGUCAAUGACAUGGAUUUACAACCACGAAAACAAAAACAAAAAAAACGUACAAAAACUUAGAGCAUUUUUAUACAACACAGUCUUUCCCAAUUCAUUUUUUCUCGUUAAGAUCCCAUGAACAUGCAGUUCCAACCGUAAUCAAAAAGCUUACUGCUUCCAUUAAUUUUUUUAUAUUUGCUGCACACAUGUGCAAUAAGUCCACUCCAGGUUAAUCGUUGUACAUAAAAAUUUUGGCGGCACGGGAGGGCCCCAGAAAUACGUCUGUCACGCAAAAUGGUAACCGGAGUAGCGAGACACACGAGAUGUGGUAAAUAAAAGACGGGCAAACCCAUGGAUUUAUCCACGAUUCACCGAUUAUUAGGUUCACAAAAUUUUCAAUUUUUUUUAAUAUUGCGCAAGUAUAACUCUACCUCCAAAGCAGGGAAAUAUGAAAAAAACAAUACCUUUUUAGUUUAUUUAAUUAUUAUAAUAUAUAAUAAUUAUAAAAAUAAUUUAGAUCAUUUUUCGGUAUAAAUAAAUAGCAUAAAUUUUCGUUUCUUUUUUGUUGAGGUUUCUGCCAGUGGUGUGAGAAAGGUAGGACAUGGUUAAAACAUUAAACACAAAGCCGCGAA